GAUGAACGCUGGCGGCGUGCUUAACACAUGCAAGUCGAACGGGAAACCUUUUAUUGAAGCUUCGGCAGAUUUAGAUUGUUUCUAGUGGCGGACGGGUGAGUAACGCGUGGGUAACCUGCCUUAUACAGGGGGAUAACAGUCAGAAAUGACUGCUAAUACCGCAUAAGCGCACAGAGCUGCAUGGCUCGGUGUGAAAAACUCCGGUGGUAUAAGAUGGACCCGCGUUGGAUUAGCUAGUUGGUGAGGUAACGGCCCACCAAGGCAACGAUCCAUAGCCGGCCUGAGAGGGUGAACGGCCACAUUGGGACUGAGACACGGCCCAGACUCCUACGGGAGGCAGCAGUGGGGAAUAUUGCACAAUGGGGGAAGCCCUGAUGCAGCGACGCCGCGUGAAGGAAGAAGUAUCUCGGUAUGUAAACUUCUAUCAGCAGGGAAGAAAAUGACGGU
Molecule: ribosomal RNA, 447 nt
Filed under: uncultured bacterium
Lineage: Bacteria
Description: bacterial SSU rRNA
Rfam family: Bacterial small subunit ribosomal RNA
Source: RNAcentral